GUGUCAGCCGCCGCGGUAAUACAUACUGUGCGAACGUUAUUCGGAUUCACUGGGCUUAAAGGGUGCGUAGGCGGCUUGUUAAGUAGGGUGUGAAAGCCCCCAGCUCAACUGGGGAACUGCACUCUAUACUGGCGAGCUGGAGUGAGAUAGGGGUGUGUGGAACUGCCAGUGGAGCGGUGAAAUGUGUUGAUAUUGGCAGGAACGCCGGUGGCGAAAGCGACACACUGGGUCUCAACUGACGCUGAGGCACGAAAGCCAGGGGAGCGAACGGGAUUAGAAACCCCAGUAGUCC
This 292-nucleotide ribosomal RNA is filed under the name uncultured bacterium. RNAcentral describes it as "partial 16S ribosomal RNA". It matches the Rfam family "Bacterial small subunit ribosomal RNA", at positions 505 to 796 of the family's 1533-position model. The record is from RNAcentral.